Molecule: ribosomal RNA, 446 nt
Filed under: uncultured bacterium
Lineage: Bacteria
Description: bacterial SSU rRNA
Rfam family: Bacterial small subunit ribosomal RNA
Source: RNAcentral
AACGAACGCUGGCGGCAGGCCUAACACAUGCAAGUCGAACGCCCCGCAAGGGGAGUGGCAGACGGGUGAGUAACGCGUGGGAACGUACCCUUCGGUUCGGGAUAACUCAGGGAAACUUGAGCUAAUACCGGAUACGUCCGAGAGGAGAAAGAUUUAUCGCCGAGGGAUCGGCCCGCGUCUGAUUAGCUUGUUGGUGAGGUAACGGCUCACCAAGGCGACGAUCAGUAGCUGGUCUGAGAGGAUGAUCAGCCACAUUGGGACUGAGACACGGCCCAAACUCCUACGGGAGGCAGCAGUGGGGAAUAUUGGACAAUGGGCGCAAGCCUGAUCCAGCCAUGCCGCGUGAGUGAUGAAGGCCCUAGGGUUGUAAAGCUCUUUUACCCGGAAGAUAAUGACGGUACCGACAAGAAAUAAGCCCCGGCUAACUUCGUGCCAGCAGCCGCCCG